Long non-coding RNA from Poecile atricapillus (Black-capped chickadee), 433 nucleotides. RefSeq lists it as uncharacterized. The record is from RefSeq and is a predicted model, not a curated record. NCBI's taxonomy places the organism in Eukaryota, Metazoa, Chordata, Aves, Passeriformes, Paridae. The transcript has 3 exons.
CCCUGACUCUCCAGCCUGGGAGACACGUGGAGAGAUAUUUGCCCAUCUGCAUUUCCAAUGCCUCAGAACUAGACAGACAGUUCUGCUUUUGCAAAGUCCUUCUGAUUCUCAGUGCUGAGACUCUACUCUCAUGAAGGUGCCAUCAGGCUUUGUUCACAUUCCCUGCUGACAGAAAGCACCAGCAAAAAUUGGCAGAGUACAGCUUUCCUGAUGAUGAGGAAUCCUGUCAUGGGGAUAGGGGAGAUAGUGAUUGUGGCAGGGACUGGGGCUGCCUCUGGGAUCAGUAAACUUCCACUGCCCUCAGUGACAAGCACUCUCGGUGGGACCAGCCAUGCAGAAAGAGGUUUUGAAAUGGAAAAGAGAGAGAGAACCUCCUCCCUGUCACAGGUCACCAAAAUCCCAGUGAUCCUCCAGAGUAUUUAAUAUUAUAAUG